CAGAGAUGUCCCCUCCCCCCAACCACAGGCACCACCAUGAGCACAGGCAGUGAAACUGAAGCCCCACCACCCCCUCCCUAAGUCACUGAAGUGUACCCUUUAAGCCAGGGAGGGACAGGGCCACACUUUCAGUGCUAACAAUUGCACAUUAAAUCACUGUCUUCUCUGAUUCUGGAUCUGAAGGUUUCUCUCUGAGAAUGAAGUCUGCAAUCUGUCACAUCAGAACAGGAAGAGAGGAUUUGAGGGAGAACCCCUUCUCAGAUCUCCAGAGUGUGGAAGGGACGUUUUGGUGCUGGCUAUGGCUUUGUGACACUGCAGUUGAAACGGGCAAAGUGGGCUCCUCACUUGAAGAACUUUGAUGCCUCUAAAUGCUCUGAUGAGAAAAAACUUGUCCUCAAAAUCGAUGGUACUUUCUUGAAGAAAUGAAACGCUCCAGCACAUGAGGCACUGUUAAAUGACCAGCUGUGUAACCUCGAAUGCAUCAUGUAAUUGCCCUCCAUUCACUUAAGGUUCUAUAAAAUGGCCUCAUCCCUUGCCCCCAGCUGAGGCAGGAUGCUGAGACGUACUGGGGGAAUGCUUCUCAAUACUUCUCAACACAGUAUUGGGAGAAUAUUUUUCAAUGGGAAGAGGAGGGUUUUUAAGGCACUAAAUGGUAUUAUGUGAAAAAGAUUCAGAAUUAUUAUCACUGUGAAGCAGAGGAUGACUUUUUUAAAACAUAGAUUUUCAUUGUUGGUGGAACACUACAAAAUCUUGUUCAGUGUCAUCAUUUACAGUUGUUCUACAGAGGUUAAGGGACAUGCCCAAGAUCUCACAACUGUGCACUAAAUGAGAUAAUAUACCUAACUGUUUAGCACAGUGCCAGUGCAUAAUAAGCAGUCAAUAAACGUCAGUUGCUGUUGCAACUGCUGAUGUUGUUUUUACUAUGAUUCAGGUCUCCUCACUCCCAGUUCAGUGCUGUUAUUAUCAAAUACAAAAAGAAACUACAGGAAGGUAGCUUUAUGAGCCCAAGCAAUUUCUUACCAUAAGGAAAAUUAUUUCUUUCAUAAUUGAGAAAGUGCAAGCCGAGAGAAGGUAAGUGCUAUGCCUUGGCACAUAAUUCCCAGGAUGCUAACAUCACACUGAAGACUAAUUCAGGGGCUUGACUGGAGGAGGAGAGGCUACUCCUUUUUCCUAAUCCUUCAGCUCUCAGUGAGCGAUAGCACAGAGAACCUGCAUGUUGUGGACCAGAGACUGAAUCCAGUCUACAGCAACCCUGUCCUCAGCACCGGAGAUUGAAUCUAGGCUAUAGCAACUCAGCCCACAGCCUGUAGGAAAGAGCAAUGUCCUGAAAAUGCAAAAUGACACUGGCAUGGAGAAAGGAGAAACUGUCCAGCAGAUGAAGCUGGGAAAGAGGUGUGGUCAAAUGGGAAAAAAACAAAAAUGAAAGACAAAAAUCAGAUUCCUACUCACACUAUAUAUAAAACAUAAACUCUGUAGAUAAAGGAUUUAUGUAUCAAAACUAAAAUUAUAGAAUUCUUAGUAAAAAUAAUGAACAUCUUUUAGACUUCAGGACUGAGAAAGAUUUCUUAAGGCACACACAAAAAUUUGACUAAAAAAACAUUGAUUUGAUUGUGUUAAAAUUAAGAACUUUUGCUCAUGAAAAUGCAUCUUAAAUAAAAAGACAAGGUAUAAACUGGGAGAAGAUAUUCACAAUACAUAAAAUCAGCAAAAGAUAAGUAGAAAGAAUAUAUUAAAUAUCCUAUAGAUCAAUAAGAAAAAUACAACCAAUCUGACAGAAAGACAAAAGGCCGGGUGCGGUGGCUCACACCUGUAAUCUCAGCACUUUGGGAGGCCGAGGCAGAGGGAUCACAAGGUCAGGAGUUCAAGACCAGCCUGACCAACACGGUGAAACCUGUCUCUACUAAAAAUACAAAAAUUAGCCAGGCGUGGUGGCACACACCUGUAAUCCCAGCUACUCAGGAAACUGAGGCAGGAGAAUCGCUUGAACCUGGGAGGCAGAGGUUGCAGUGAGCCGAGAUCACGCCACUGCACUCCACCAGCCUGGGCGACAGAGCGAGACUCCGUCUCAAAAAGAAAAAAGAAAAACAGUCAAAAGACAUGAAAAGACAUAGCAAAGAAACAAAACACGAGUGGCAAAGAAAACAGAACAAAGGAUUUUCAGCAUUACUGGUGAUCAAGGAAAUGCAACUGAAGACAGUGAUGAUGUAGUCUAAGCCCAUUUUAGUGGCAAAGGUUAAGAAGUAGGGCAAUAUCCAGCAUUAAAGAGACUGUGGCUACACAGGUCCACUUCGGCAUUGCUGGUGGGAGUGUAAAUUGGUACAACCACCUUUGGAAAAGAGUGUUCACUAUCUCCUAAAGAUUCUGAUCCCUUAUGGCCAAGCAAAUCUACUAGUAGUUCUAUCCCCAAAGGAGACUCUUGAACAUUUACAACAAGAGACAUGUACAAGAAUGUUCUUAGCAGCAGUGCUUUCAAUAGAAGAAACACUGACACAACCCAAUGCCUGAAAUUGAAAGCAUGAAUGAACAAAUUAUGGCUUAUUCACACAAUGGAAUUUCCUACCGUCAUCAAAACAAUGAACUCCAGCAAUCAGUAAUAUGGAUGAUUCCUAGUUUAAUAUUAAGUAAAAAAAAUAAAUUCCUUCAAAUUAUCAACAGUUCAAUACACUUUUCGUAAAGUUCAAAUAACUAAAAUACUGGGAAUAUAUAUAAAUGCAAUACAACUGCAUGAAAAGGAAAGCAGUGGAAUGAUUAACAAAAGAUUCAAGAGGCUGGGUGCAAUGGCUCAUGCUUGUAAUCUCAGUGCUUUGAGAGGCCAAGGCAGAAGGAUCACUUAAGCCCAGGGGUCUGAGACCAGCCUGGGGAAUAUAGGGAGACCCUAUCUCUACAAAGUUUUUUUUAAAAAACUUCACCAGACAUGGUGGUAUGUCCCUGUAGUCCUAACUACUCAGAAGCUGAAGCAGGAGGAUUGCUUGAGUCCAGGAGCUCAGGGUUACAAUAAGCUAUGACUGUGCCACUGUGCUUCAGCCUAGGUGACAAAGCAAGACCCUGUCUCAAAAAAAAAAAAAAAAAAAAAAAGACUCAAGAAUGUGGUUACCUUAGGUGGGGAAAGGCAGUCAUGUGGUUACACGUAAGUGAUUGUUAACUUCCUAGCUUCUGUUUUGUGUGGUGAAUGCAUG
Molecule: long non-coding RNA, 3176 nt
Filed under: Homo sapiens (human)
Lineage: Eukaryota; Metazoa; Chordata; Mammalia; Primates; Hominidae
Description: HSALNT0330858
Source: RNAcentral